This 116-nucleotide ribosomal RNA is filed under the name Clostridium sp. AM33-3. Lineage: Bacteria; Bacillati; Bacillota; Clostridia; Eubacteriales; Clostridiaceae. The record is from RNAcentral.
UCUGGUGCCGAUGCGCUUAGGGGAAACACCCGUUCCCAUCCCGAACACGACGGUUAAGACCUAAGCGGCCGAUGGUACUAUGCUGGAGACGGCAUGGGAGAGCAGGUGGGUGCCAG